AAAAUAAUUCAUAUUGAACUUGGUAAUUAUUUUAAGUUCAGUUCGAUUAAAUAAUAAUGAAUUGAAAUCCUUUUGUUCGCAUCAGAGAGGGAAGAUCCAUUAUUUUGUUCAUUUUCUAAGGGGAAAAUUGAGGAUUGUUAGAGAAACUUGGAAGCGUAUUGCUGGCAGGAAUUCGAAGGCGUAAUAGCAUAACAUCGAUUGCAUAAGCAACGCUAUAUUUAUAACCUGGAAGUGCUUUUUUAACCUUGCUUCUGUAAACGGUAACCCAUUUCCGCGAUCCAUUAUCCCGCAAAAUUCGUUUUCUAUGUUCCUUUGUUUGCCACUGUUGUAAACGAAUGCCGUUGCGAAUACGGAUUCGUAGAAAGUGCUUUUCAGAAGUGAUACUAAUCGUUGAAAUGAGUCCAGCGGUUCUAACGCAAGUUCGUAUAAAUAAUCUCGAAAAUAACUUUACUCUUCCGACGAAAUGUAUUUAUAAUAAUUUCGAAACUAUGCUCGAUCAGAAAAUUUCUAUUUGACGUUUAACAUUUACGAGGCAAUCGAUUUUGAGAAGUUUAUAAUAAGCACGAGUACGAUGGCACGAAUUCGACAAUUUGCGAUGUUUCGUAACUGCCAGCAGAUUGAGUGAACGGGCUAAAAAUACGAGAACUAUCGUUGAUAAUUCGUUGAGCCUUCUGUUGGCAUCGCGUCGUUCUCCAAAUAUAUCCUCCUGCAUUUUUCACGGUCGAUUUCUUGCUAAACGGGAUUUUGCAAUCACUUGGGACACUUUCCUUCCCUUAAUAAAUGAUUUGUACAAAUCUUGGAUAUAUCAUACGAAUUUAAUCGAGUUCGAUGCAUCUACUAACGUUUAACGAGUUUAUUUAAUUGAAAGCGUUUAAAUAUAUUCAUUAGGAGGUUAAAUAUCAAUGAAAACAGAUUGAAUGAGUUAAGGAAGUUCGAAUUUGGCUGUCGUACGCGAAAAUCGCGCCGUAACGUUGUCGAAUACCGAGCGGUAUUACGUGUACCGUGAUUGGUCGCGGCAUUCCACGGAUCAGCCAAUCGACGCGCGCGACACGAACAGGAGCAUCGCCUUUUCUUUUCCUUGACGCAACGCCGUCGCUAAUUUUAGUCACGCGCGUACUUCAUACCGCCCUGGAUCAUCCGAACGCUAUUUCGCACGUAUUCCUGUUUCAUUCUCGGCAAGAUCGACCGAAGGUCAUCGGAAAUAUAUUUGGAAUACGUGAUCUAAAUCGACCGCCGUCCAUUAAUGCUUAUUUCUAGCGAACUGACUGAUCGUGGGUAAUUAUGAUCGCGUCUAACCAUAAUCAUACGUCUUCCAAUUCGACGACACGUGUUUUCCUUCAACUAUUAAUACACAAUAUUUGAUUGAUCGAGCAAUUAAACGAAAAUAUUGCAAAUUGAAGGAAGAUAAAAUUACAAAUUCAAUAUUAAUUGAACGUUUACGUUGAUUUGAAAGCGUUCGGUUGGUAACAUGGCGGAUUUUUUGGCUUCAAGUUAGUACUACUGGUUUCAAAACAGUGACAGUGGUUAUUUGACAGUAAAAACAUGAUUUAGUGUGUAAUAAUUUGUUAAUUAAGCGUUUGGUGAAUAAAGGAGAUGAUUGACGUACAUCAAGAGCAUCACCCAUAGAGGUGGCUCUGAAGGUUACACCAAAGGAGCACGUGUUGCAGACUUCGUAGCAGCUUUGAAACGAGGUGCAACUACUCAGGGUAUGGAGUUCAACAAAUGGUGCUGAUCUAGAUGACACCACAUUGUGGCUUUGAGUAGUUCUUCCCCGAAAUUCUGCUCUCUCUAUCUUUUUGAGGUCGUCGUUUUAUCAGUCGAAAUGUUUAUCGAGGAUCGAUCAAGGAAUCUAUCCCGAAGCCUCGUUCCAUUCACCAAAAUCGAGCACAACUAAACAAUCGUAAACUCUGGAGGAUUCGCAAAACGCCUUUGAAAGUGUACUUAAUACUGCAACACACGCGCGUUAAAGGUAUCGAGGAAAGACCGCAAAUAUCUAUUACAUAACCGAGUCACUGCGUGCCCUGUUGCUACCAUGAGAAACCGCAGGGAAAUACGAACGACAAACCCGGUAGGAAAAAUUGAAGAGAAAA
Osmia bicornis bicornis is the source of this 2090-nucleotide long non-coding RNA. RefSeq lists it as uncharacterized. The transcript has 4 exons. The record is from RefSeq and is a predicted model, not a curated record. NCBI's taxonomy places the organism in Eukaryota, Metazoa, Arthropoda, Insecta, Hymenoptera, Megachilidae.